This 384-nucleotide ribosomal RNA is filed under the name Gyrodinium sp. Its description in RNAcentral is "partial small subunit ribosomal RNA". It matches the Rfam family "Eukaryotic small subunit ribosomal RNA", at positions 587 to 975 of the family's 1831-position model. The record is from RNAcentral. Lineage: Eukaryota; Dinophyceae; Gymnodiniales; Gymnodiniaceae.
AGCUCCAAGAGCGUAUAUUAAAGUUGUUGCAGUUAAAAAGCUCGUAGUUGGAUUUCUGCUGAGGACGACCGGUCCGCCAUCUGGGAGAGUAUCUGGCUUGGCCUUGGCAUCUUCUUGGAGAACGUAGCUGCACCUGACUGUGUGGUGCGGUAUCCAGGACUUUUACUUUGAGGAAAUUAGAGUGUUUCAAGCAAGCACACGCCUUGAAUACAUUAGCAUGGAAUAAUAAGAUAGGACCUUGGUUCUAUUUUGCUGGUUUCUAGAGCUGAGGUAAUGAUUAAUAGGGAUAGUUGGGGGCAUUCGUAUUUAACUGUCAAAGGUGAAAUUCUUGGAUUUGUUAAAGACGGACUACUGCGAAAGCAUUUGCCAAGGAUGUUUUCAUUG